UACGUAGGAGGCGAGCGUUGUCCGGAAUUACUGGGUGUAAAGAGCGCGUAGGUGGGAGGCCAAGUCUGUGGUGAAAGCGCCCGGCUCAACUGGGCAUGGUCCAUGGAAACUGGUCACCUGGAGGACGGUAGAGGCGAGUGGAAUUCCCGGUGUAGUGGUGAAAUGCGUAGAGAUCGGGAGGAACACCAGUGGCGAAGGCGGCUCACUGGACCGGUACUGACGCUGAUGCGCGAAAGCGUGGGGAGCAAACGGG
RNAcentral lists this ribosomal RNA (253 nucleotides) under uncultured bacterium. RNAcentral's name for it is "partial 16S ribosomal RNA". It matches the Rfam family "Bacterial small subunit ribosomal RNA", at positions 524 to 776 of the family's 1533-position model. The record is from RNAcentral.